RNAcentral lists this ribosomal RNA (305 nucleotides) under uncultured bacterium. RNAcentral describes it as "bacterial SSU rRNA". It matches the Rfam family "Bacterial small subunit ribosomal RNA", at positions 335 to 638 of the family's 1533-position model. The record is from RNAcentral.
UCGCCUACGGGGCGCAGCAGUGAGGAAUAUUGGUCAAUGGGAGAGAUCCUGAACCAGCCAAGCCGCGUGAGGGAAGACGGCCCUAUGGGUUGUAAACCUCUUUUGUCGGAGAACAAAACCCGGGACGUGUCCCGGACUGCGUGUAUCCGAAGAAAAAGCAUCGGCUAACUACGUGCCAGCAGCCGCGGUAAUACGUAGGUGGCAAGCGUUAUCCGGAAUUAUUGGGCGUAAAGAGGGAGCAGGCGGCAGCAAAGGUCUGUGGUGAAAGACUGAAGCUUAACUUCAGUAAGCCAUAGAAACCAGGC